RNAcentral lists this ribosomal RNA (414 nucleotides) under Micrococcaceae bacterium. RNAcentral's name for it is "bacterial SSU rRNA". It matches the Rfam family "Bacterial small subunit ribosomal RNA", at positions 505 to 916 of the family's 1533-position model. The record is from RNAcentral. Lineage: Bacteria; Bacillati; Actinomycetota; Actinomycetes; Micrococcales; Micrococcaceae.
GUGCCAGCAGCCGCGGUAAUACGUAGGGCGCAAGCGUUAUCCGGAAUUAUUGGGCGUAAAGAGCUCGUAGGCGGUUUGUCGCGUCUGCCGUGAAAGUCCGGGGCUUAACUCCGGAUCUGCGGUGGGUACGGGCAGACUUGAGUGAUGUAGGGGAGACUGGAAUUCCUGGUGUAGCGGUGAAAUGCGCAGAUAUCAGGAGGAACACCGAUGGCGAAGGCAGGUCUCUGGGCAUUAACUGACGCUGAGGAGCGAAAGCAUGGGGAGCGAACAGGAUUAGAUACCCUGGUAGUCCAUGCCGUAAACGUUGGGCACUAGGUGUGGGGGACAUUCCACGUUUUCCGCGCCGUAGCUAACGCAUUAAGUGCCCCGCCUGGGGAGUACGGCCGCAAGGCUAAAACUCAAAGGAAUUGACGG